Molecule: ribosomal RNA, 292 nt
Filed under: uncultured bacterium
Lineage: Bacteria
Description: partial 16S ribosomal RNA
Rfam family: Bacterial small subunit ribosomal RNA
Source: RNAcentral
GUGUCAGCCGCCGCGGUAAUACGUAGGGAGCGAGCGUUGUCCGGAAUCAUUGGGCGUAAAGAGCAUGUAGGUGGAUCAAUUAGUCUGCUGUGAAAGUCAAAGGCUCAACCUUUGAAAGCCGGUGGAUACUGUUGAUCUAGAGUACGGAAGAGGCGAGUGGAAUUCCUGGUGUAGCGGUGGAAUGCGCAGAUAUCAGGAGGAACACCAAUAGCGAAGGCAGCUCGCUGGGACGUUACUGACACUGAGAUGCGAAAGCGUGGGGAGCAAACAGGAUUAGAAACCCGCGUAGUCC